RNAcentral lists this ribosomal RNA (301 nucleotides) under uncultured bacterium. RNAcentral describes it as "partial 16S ribosomal RNA". It matches the Rfam family "Bacterial small subunit ribosomal RNA", at positions 509 to 807 of the family's 1533-position model. The record is from RNAcentral.
CAGUCGCCGCGGGAAAACAGAGGGUGCAAGCGUUAAUCGGAAUUACUGGGCGUAAAGCGCGCGUAGGUGGUUUGUUAAGUUGGAUGUGAAAGCCCCGGGCUCAACCUGGGAACUGCAUCCAAAACUGGCAAGCUAGAGUACGGUAGAGGGUGGUGGAAUUUCCUGUGUAGCGGUGAAAUGCGUAGAUAUAGGAAGGAACACCAGUGGCGAAGGCGACCACCUGGACUGAUACUGACACUGAGGUGCGAAAGCGUGGGGAGCAAACAGGAUUAGAUACCCCCGUAGUCCCUGUCUCUUAUAC